Molecule: ribosomal RNA, 162 nt
Filed under: uncultured bacterium
Lineage: Bacteria
Description: partial 16S ribosomal RNA
Rfam family: Bacterial small subunit ribosomal RNA
Source: RNAcentral
UGGGGAAUAUUGCACAAUGGGGGAAACCAUGAUGCAGCCAUGCCGCGUGUAUGAAGAAGGCAUUCGGGUUGUAAAGUACUAUCAGUUGUGAGGAAGGCGUUGGAGUUCUAACUUCUACGCUUCGACGUUACUCCUGAGACGAAGCACCGGCUAACUCAGUGC